RNAcentral lists this ribosomal RNA (253 nucleotides) under uncultured bacterium. RNAcentral describes it as "partial 16S ribosomal RNA". It matches the Rfam family "Bacterial small subunit ribosomal RNA", at positions 524 to 776 of the family's 1533-position model. The record is from RNAcentral.
UACGAAGGGGGCUAGCGUUGCUCGGAAUCACUGGGCGUAAAGGGUGCGCAGGCGGUUGUGUGUGUCAGGUGUGAAAGCCCGGGGCUUAACCCCGGAAUUGCGCCUGAAACUACAUGACUAGAGCAUUGGAGAGGGUAGCGGAAUUCACGGUGUAGCAGUGAAAUGCGUAGAUAUCGUGAGGAACACCAGUGGCGAAGGCGACUUUCUGGUCCACAACUGACGCUGAGGCGCGAAGGCUAGGGGAGCGAACGGG